This 754-nucleotide ribosomal RNA is filed under the name uncultured archaeon. RNAcentral describes it as "bacterial SSU rRNA". It matches the Rfam family "Archaeal small subunit ribosomal RNA", at positions 102 to 859 of the family's 1478-position model. The record is from RNAcentral.
AGUCAACAUGCCCAAAGGACGUGGAUAACCUCGGGAAACUGAGGAUAAACCGCGAUAGGCCAAGGUUUCUGGAAUGAGCCCUGGCCGAAAUCUAUAUGGCCUUUGGAUUGGACUGCGGCCGAUCAGGCUGUUGGUGAGGUAAUGGCCCACCAAACCUGUAACCGGUACGGGCUUUGAGAGAAGGAGCCCGGAGAUGGGCACUGAGACAAGGGCCCAGGCCCUAUGGGGCGCAGCAGGCGCGAAACCUCUGCAAUAGGCGAAAGCCUGACAGGGUUACUCUGAGUGAUGCCCGCUAAGGGUAUCUUUUGGCACCUCUAAAAAUGGUGCAGAAUAAGGGGUGGGCAAGUCUGGUGUCAGCCGCCGCGGUAAUACCAGCACCCCGAGUUGUCGGGACGAUUAUUGGGCCUAAAGCAUCCGUAGCCUGUUCUGCAAGUCCUCCGUUAAAUCCACCUGCUCAACGGAUGGGCUGCGGAGGAUACCGCAGAGCUAGGAGGCGGGAGAGGCAAACGGUACUCAGUGGGUAGGGGUAAAAUCCAUUGAUCUACUGAAGACCACCAGUGGCGAAGGCGGUUCGCCAGAACGCGCUCGACGGUGAGGGAUGAAAGCUGGGGGAGCAAACCGGAUUAGAUACCCGGGUAGUCCCAGCUGUAAACGAUGCAGACUCGGUGAUGGGUUGGCCUCGAGCCAACCCAGUGCCGCAGGGAAGCCGUUAAGUCUGCCGCCUGGGGAGUACGGUCGCAAGACUGAAACUUAA